This 415-nucleotide ribosomal RNA is filed under the name uncultured soil bacterium. RNAcentral's name for it is "bacterial SSU rRNA". It matches the Rfam family "Bacterial small subunit ribosomal RNA", at positions 26 to 424 of the family's 1533-position model. The record is from RNAcentral.
AGGACAAACGCUGGCGGGGUGCAUGAGACAUGCAAGUCGAACGAGGUGCCAUCGGGCUUGCUCGAUGGUUACCGAGUGGCGGACGGCUGAGUAACACGUAGGUGACCUACCCGGAAGUGGGGAAUAACUGCCCGAAAGGGUGGCUAAUACCGCAUGUGGUCGGCGAUUCAUUUCGCCGUCUAAAGGAGAAAUCCGCUUCCGGCGGGCCUGCGUCCGAUUAGCUAGUUGGUGGGUAACGGCUCACCAAGGCGACGAUCGGUAGCGUGGUCUGAGAGGAUGAUCAGCCAGACUGGGACUGACGAACGGCCCAGACUCCGUACGGGAGGCGAGCGAGGUCGGGAAGUUUUCGACCCAAUCGGAACGAAAGUACUGAGGCAGCAACCGUCCGCGUGGAGGAGUGAAGGCUACGUCGGUU